GACGAACGCUGGCGGCGUGCCUAAUACAUGCAAGUCGAGCGAAGUUUUUCUGGUGCUUGCACUAGAAAAACUUAGCGGCGAACGGGUGAGUAACACGUAAAGAACCUGCCUCAUAGACUGGGACAACUAUUGGAAACGAUAGCUAAUACCGGAUAACAGUAUUUCUCGCAUGAGAGAUAUUUAAAAGUUGGUUAUGCUAACACUAUGAGAUGGCUUUGCGGUGCAUUAGCUAGUUGGUGGGGUAAAGGCCCACCAAGGCGACGAUGCAUAGCCGACCUGAGAGGGUGAUCGGCCACACUGGGACUGAGACACGGCCCAGACUCCUACGGGAGGCAGCAGUAGGGAAUCUUCCGCAAUGGGCGAAAGCCUGACGGAGCAACGCCGCGUGAGUGAAGAAGGAUUUCGGUUCGUAAAGCUCUGUUGUUAGGGAAGAAUGGAUAUGUAGUAACUAUACAUAUAAGAGACGGUACCUAACCAGAAAGCCACGGCUAACUACGUG
RNAcentral lists this ribosomal RNA (499 nucleotides) under uncultured bacterium. RNAcentral's name for it is "partial 16S ribosomal RNA". It matches the Rfam family "Bacterial small subunit ribosomal RNA", at positions 28 to 507 of the family's 1533-position model. The record is from RNAcentral.